UACGUAGGGUGCGAGCGUUGUCCGGAAUUAUUGGGCGUAAAGAGCUUGUAGGCGGUUUGUCGCGUCUGCUGUGAAAAUCCGGGGCUCAACCCCGGACUUGCAGUGGGUACGGGCAGACUAGAGUGUGGUAGGGGAGACUGGAAUUCCUGGUGUAGCGGUGAAAUGCGCAGAUAUCAGGAGGAACACCGGUGGCGAAGGCGGGUCUCUGGGCCGAUACUGACGCUGAGGAGCGAAAGCGUGGGGAGCGAACAGG
RNAcentral lists this ribosomal RNA (253 nucleotides) under uncultured bacterium. RNAcentral's name for it is "partial 16S ribosomal RNA". It matches the Rfam family "Bacterial small subunit ribosomal RNA", at positions 524 to 776 of the family's 1533-position model. The record is from RNAcentral.